CCCUUAGAUGUCCUGGGCCGCACGCGCGCUACACUGAUGCAUUCAACGAGUUUUACCUUGGCCGAGAGGCCUGGGCAAUCUUUUAAACCUGCAUCGUGAUAGGGAUAGAUUAUUGCAAUUAUUAAUCUUGAACGAGGAAUUCCUAGUAAACGCAAAUCAUCAAUUUGCAUUGAUUACGUCCCUGCCCUUUGUACACACCGCCCGUCGCACCUACCGAUUGAAUGGUCCGGUGAAGCCUCGGGAUUGUGGCCAGUUCACUUUAUUGGGAGUUGACUGCGAGAACUUGUCUAAACCUUAUCAUUUAGAGGAAGGUGAAGUCGUAACA
This 325-nucleotide ribosomal RNA is filed under the name uncultured eukaryote. RNAcentral describes it as "partial 18S ribosomal RNA". It matches the Rfam family "Eukaryotic small subunit ribosomal RNA", at positions 1470 to 1796 of the family's 1831-position model. The record is from RNAcentral.